CGGCGGACGGGUGAGUAAUGUCUGGGAAGCUGCCCGAUGGAGGGGGAUAACUACUGGAAACGGUAGCUAAUACCGCAUAACGUCGCAAGACCAAAGAGGGGGACCUUCGGGCCUCUUGCCAUCGGAUGUGCCCAGAUGGGAUUAGCUAGUAGGUGGGGUAACGGCUCACCUAGGCGACGAUCCCUAGCUGGUCUGAGAGGAUGACCAGCCACACUGGAACUGAGACACGGUCCAG
RNAcentral lists this ribosomal RNA (235 nucleotides) under uncultured bacterium. RNAcentral describes it as "partial 16S ribosomal RNA". It matches the Rfam family "Bacterial small subunit ribosomal RNA", at positions 96 to 334 of the family's 1533-position model. The record is from RNAcentral.